GAUGAAGAACGCAGCGAAAUGCGAUAAGUAAUGUGAAUUGCAGAAUUCCGUGAAUCAUCGAAUCUUUGAACGCACAUUGCGCCCGCCAGUAUUCUGGCGGGCAUGCCUGUUCGAGCGUCAUUUCAACCCUCAAGCCCCCGGGCUUGGUGUUGGGGAUCGGCCGCCCUCCGGCGCGCCGGCCCCGAAAUCUAGUGGCGGUCUCGCUGUAGCCUCCUCUGCGUAGUAGCACACCUCGCACCGGAACGCAGCCUGGCCACGCCGUUAAACCCCCCACUUCUGAAGGUUGACCUCGGAUCAGGUAGGAAUACCCGCUGAACUUAAGCAUAUCAAUAAGCGGAGGA
RNAcentral lists this unclassified non-coding RNA (341 nucleotides) under soil metagenome. Its description in RNAcentral is "partial contains 5.8S ribosomal RNA, internal transcribed spacer 2, and large subunit ribosomal RNA". The stretch from base 1 to 120 matches the Rfam family "5.8S ribosomal RNA", at positions 35 to 154 of the family's 154-position model. The record is from RNAcentral.